GGGUGAGUAACGCGUGAGAACUGCCUUCUGGUCUGGGACAACAGAGGGAAACUUCUGCUAAUCCCGGAUAAGCCUACGGGUGAAAGAUUAAUUGCCUGGAGAUGAGCUCGCGUCUGAUUAGCUAGUUGGUAAGGUAAAAGCUUACCAAGGCGACGAUCAGUAGCUGGUCUGAGAGGAUGAGCAGCCACACUGGGACUGAGACACGCCCAGACUCCUACGGGAGGCAGCAGUGGGGAAUUUUCCGCAAUGGGCGAAAGCCUGACGGAGCAAGACCGCGUGGGGGAGGAAGGCUCUAGGGUUGUAAACCCCUUUUCUUUGGGAAGAAGUACUGACGGUACCAAAGGAAUCAGCCUCGGCUAACUCCGUGCCAGCAGCCGCGGUAAUACGGAGGAGGCAAGCGUUAUCCGGAAUGAUUGGGCGUAAAGCGUCCGCAGGUGGCCAUGUAAGUCUGCUGUCAAAACCCAGGGCUUAACUCUGGUUAGGCAGUGGAAACUACAAAGCUAGAGUCUGGUAGGGGCCAAGGGAAUUCCCGGUGUAGCGGUGAAAUGCGUAGAGAUCGGGAAGAACAUCGGUGGCGAAAGCGCUUGGCUAGACCAGAACUGACACUCAGGGACGAAAGCUAGGGGAGCGAAUGGGAUUAGAUACCCCAGUAGUCCUAGCUGUAAACGAUGGAUACUAGGUGUUGCCUGUAUCGACCCGGGCAGUGCCGUAGCUAACGCGUUAAGUAUCCCGCCGGAGUACGCACGCAAGUGUGAAACUCAAAGGAAUUGACGGGGGCCCGCACAAGCGGUGGAGUAUGUGGUUUAAUUCGAUGCAACGCGAAGAACCUUACCAGGGCUUGACAUGUCGCGAAUCUAGGGGAAACCUUGGAGUGCCUUCGGGAGCGCGAACACAGGUGGUGCAUGGCUGUCGUCAGCUCGUGUCGUGAGAUGUUGGGUUAAGUCCCGCAACGAGCGCAACCCUCGUCUUUAGUUGCCAGCAUUAAGUUGGGCACUCUGAAGAGACUGCCGGUGACAAACCGGAGGAAGGGAUGACGUCAAGUCAGCAUGCCCCUUAGCCCUGGGCUACACACGUACUACAAUGGUCUGGACAGAGGGUAGCCAACCCGCGAGGGUGAGCCAAUCCCUAAAACCAGGCCUCAGUUCAGAUUGCAGGCUGCAACUCGCCUGCAUGAAGUCGGAAUCGCUAGUAAUCGGGUCAGCAACUGCGGUGAAUCCGUUCCCGGGCCUUGUACACACCGCCCGUCACACCAUGGAAGUUGCACGCCCGAAGUCAUUACUCUAACCCGUAAGGGAGGGGGAUGCCGAAGGCAGGGCUGAUACUGG
This 1325-nucleotide ribosomal RNA is filed under the name Oscillatoria sancta HSDM1. Its description in RNAcentral is "bacterial SSU rRNA". It matches the Rfam family "Bacterial small subunit ribosomal RNA", at positions 104 to 1478 of the family's 1533-position model. Lineage: Bacteria; Bacillati; Cyanobacteriota; Cyanophyceae; Oscillatoriales; Oscillatoriaceae. The record is from RNAcentral.